Molecule: ribosomal RNA, 712 nt
Filed under: uncultured organism
Description: bacterial SSU rRNA
Rfam family: Bacterial small subunit ribosomal RNA
Source: RNAcentral
UAUGACGGUACCCUUUCGAAUAAGAGGUUGCUAACUCUGUGCCAGCAGCAGCGGUAAUACAGAGACCUCGAGCGUCAUCCGGAUUUACUGGGCGUAAAGCGUCUGUAGGGGGUUUGUUAAGUUCCAAGUAAAAUCUUAAGGCUCAACUUUAAGUUCGCUUGGAAAACUAAUAAACUGGAGUCCAGCAGAGGUGCAUGGAACUUGCGGUGUAGGAGUGAAAUCCGUUGAUAUCGCAAGGAACACCAAAGGCGAAGGCAUUGCACUGGGCUGGUACUGACCCUGAGAGACGAAAGCGUGGGGAGCAAAACGGAUUAGAUACCCGUGUAGUCCACGCCGUAAACGAUGGAUACUAGAUGUUCGGGGAUUCGACCCCCUGGGUGUCACAGCUAACGCGUUAAGUAUCCCGCCUGGGAAGUACGGCCGCAAGGCUAAAACUCAAAGGAAUAGACGGGGAUCCGCACAAGCGGUGGAGCGUCUGGUUUAAUUUGAUAGUAAGCAAUGGACCUCACCAAGGUUUGACAUCCUAUGACAACCCUGGAAACAGGGCUUCCUUCGGGCAUAGUGACAGGUGCUGCAUGGUCGUCGUCAGUUCGUGCCGUGAGGUGUUCCGUUAAGUCGGGAAACGAACGAAACCCUCGUCGCAUGUUACAAAUUUCAUGCGAGACUGCCCGGGUCAACCGGGAGGAAGGCGGGGAUGACGUCAGAUCAGCAU